AGCAAACAGGAUUAGAUACCCUGGUAGUUCAUGCCGUAAACGAUGAAUGCUAAGUGUUUGAGGGUUUCCGCCCUUUAGUGCUGAAGUUAACGCAUUAAGCAUUUCGCCUGGGGAGUACGGCCGCAAGGGUGAAACUCAAAGGAAUUGACGGGGGCCCGCACAAGCGGUGGAGCAUGUGGUUUAAUUUGAAGCAACGCGAAGAACCUUACCAGGUCUUGACAUCCUUUGACAACCCUAGAGAUAAGGCUUUUCCUUCGGGGACAGGGUUACAGGUGGUGCAUGGUUGUCGUCAGCUUGUGUCGUGAGAUGUUGGGUUAAGUCCCGCAACGAGCGCAACCCUUGAUUUUAGUUGCCAGCAUUAAGUUGGGCACUUUAAGGUGACUGCCGGUGACAAACCGGAGGAAGGUGGGGAUGACGUCAAAUCAUCAUGCCCCUUAUGACCUGGGCUACACACGUGGUACAAUGGACGGUACAAAGAGGUGCAAGGCCGCGAGGGGGAGCUAAUUUCAUAAAACCAUUUUCAGUUUGGAUUGUAGGGUGCAACUUGCCUACAUGAAGGUGGAAUCGCUAGUAAUCGCGGAUCAGCAUGCCGCGGUGAAUACGUUCCCGGGCCUUGUACACACCGCCCGUCACACCAUGAGAGUUUGUAACACCCGAAGUCGGUGGGGUAACCUUUUUGGAGCCAGCCGCCUAAGGUGGGACAGAU
RNAcentral lists this ribosomal RNA (706 nucleotides) under Bacillus cereus. Its description in RNAcentral is "bacterial SSU rRNA". It matches the Rfam family "Bacterial small subunit ribosomal RNA", at positions 767 to 1472 of the family's 1533-position model. The record is from RNAcentral. Lineage: Bacteria; Bacillati; Bacillota; Bacilli; Caryophanales; Bacillaceae.